UGGUGUUUGACAUAUGUUCUAACAUUCUUUCAGGUGCAGAUGCAUUGCAUCCAUGGCAGAGGGUCAGGGUUAGGAGGUGCCGGGCCUCCUUUGGAGCACACUGUCUGAGAGACACCAGCCCGGUGCCAGCAGGACCUUCCCAGGUGACGAGGUAGCCUUUCUUUGCACCUGACACAGACUGGCAUCCCCAGAUGUCUGAGAGAUAAGUAGGAGGACUGUGACCCACAGAGGGGAUGAACGUGGGGUGCUGGUUUGGGAAUUACUGGGAGGGGUUUUUGAGUCCAAUUUGGAGGUGGGGGGUGUCCAUGAAGUGGCCCCUUAUGCCCCAUGAAAGCAAAGUCUCACUCUUGCCCACAGUGCUGAGGUGCGCAGGGCAGAGCAGUCCCGGUGUGUCUCAUGUCACUUGUCUGUUGUGCAUUGUGUGUUGUUUGUGUAUCCCGUUUCUUUUACGUUAGCCUUUGAGGGGCCUGUCAGACACCCUGGCAUCAUUGUUGGCAUCUGUGAUCUCUGCAUUCCUUGGCCUGGCACCCAGGCCAUAGAUGCGAUUCUGAUACCUGUCUGAGCUCCCCAGUCAGAAGUUCUCUCUUUGGAAGCAUCCAGUCAUAUGUCUUUUCAGGUCUUGUUCGGAGCUGUACAGACAGCUAUGCCCCACCUGGAUCCAUUUUGGUGGAAUAGCACUUGUAACAAUGUGAGGGCAGUCAGAGGAUUCUGACCAUAGGAUUCCUGGGUAUCGAUCUUUGCUGUUCUUGGAAUAAAUCCUUCAGUUAGCAUCUUCUUCCUCCGGGGUUCUCUGAGCCUCAUCAGCUGACUGUCAGUUUGAACUCAGUCAUCUCCUUUUGCGUUCUCUUAGUCCAUGCAGCCAUUUUCCUGGCCAAGAGAUUUCUGUCAAUGUUGUGUCCGCAUUGUCCGUCCUGUCUUGUCCUGCCUGUCCUGUGUCACGGGUGUCAGCACACAUUUGUGCCGGAGCUGCUCUGCCCUGCCGCAUAGCCUGGUGCAAUAGGAGAGGGCCCGGGGACCUGGAAUGUGUAAUGUGGGGUGUAGUUGGACUCUAGAUGGGAUUUGUAGAUGGACUCAUCAUAUCUGGAGCUCAUCAGUUAUCCUGCAACAGUUUGACUCUUAUCCUAACUUUUUUUCCAGAUUCAGAUGGAUUAAAUCUGUGCCAGAGGGCCCCAUCCCGGGUGAGGGGAUUGCCCCGAGCAGGAAGUCAAUCUGGAUACCAUCAGCCAAGGUGAGCAGUGGAGAGAAGUGGUUGUUAUUGCUCAGCUCUCAAGCACAACAAUUUUUCAGCAGAUUCAUCAUGACACAAGAGGGAUCUUCCCAGUGUCAAGGAUGAUGUUUGAG
Melospiza melodia melodia is the source of this 1341-nucleotide long non-coding RNA. RefSeq lists it as uncharacterized. The transcript is spliced from 3 exons. Lineage: Eukaryota; Metazoa; Chordata; Aves; Passeriformes; Passerellidae. The record is from RefSeq and is a predicted model, not a curated record.